This 368-nucleotide ribosomal RNA is filed under the name uncultured prokaryote. RNAcentral describes it as "bacterial SSU rRNA". It matches the Rfam family "Bacterial small subunit ribosomal RNA", at positions 524 to 896 of the family's 1533-position model. The record is from RNAcentral.
UACGGAGGGUGCAAGCGUUAUCCGGAAUCAUUGGGUUUAAAGGGUCCGCAGGCGGAUUUAUAAGUCAGUGGUGAAAUCCUGCAGCUCAACUGCAGAACUGCCAUUGAUACUGUAAGUCUUGAAUUUGAUCGGAGUGGGCGGAAUGUGUAGUGUAGCGGUGAAAUGCAUAGAUAUUACACAGAACACCGAUAGCGAAGGCAGCUCACUAGGUUAUAAUUGACGCUCAUGGACGAAAGCGUGGGGAUCAAACAGGAUUAGAUACCCUGGUAGUCCACGCCGUAAACGAUGAUUACUCGUUCUUGAUAGCAAUAUCAGGGACCAAGCGAAAGUGAUAAGUAAUCCACCUGGGGAGUACGAUCGCAAGGUUG